RNAcentral lists this ribosomal RNA (832 nucleotides) under marine metagenome. Its description in RNAcentral is "bacterial SSU rRNA". It matches the Rfam family "Bacterial small subunit ribosomal RNA", at positions 8 to 857 of the family's 1533-position model. The record is from RNAcentral.
AGAGUUUGAUUCUGGCUCAGGACGAACGCUGGCGGUGUGCUUAAUGCAUGCAAGUCUACUACUUGUGACUUCGGUCACGCUAAAGUGGUGGCAAACGGCUUAGUAACACGUAAGUAAUCUGCCCUUAAGUGGGGGAUAAUCCGAAGAAAUUCGGCCUAAUACCGCAUAAUAUUUUAAUAUACAAAUGUUAAAAAGAAAGAUUUAUCGCUUUUGGAGGAGCUUGCGGCCUAUCAGGUAGUUGGUAAGGGUAAUGGCCUACCAAGCCUAAGACGGGUAACCGAAGUGAGAGCUUGAUCGGUAAGAGGGGAACUGAGACACGGUCCCCACUUCUACGGAAGGCAGCAGCAGGGAAUUUUGCGCAAUGGACUGUAUGGUCUGACGCAGCGACACCGCGUGGAGGAUGAAUGCUUUAGGGUUGUAAACUCCUUUUCUUAGGGAAGAUGAUGACGGUACCUAAGGAAUAAGCAUCGGCUAACUACGUGCCAGCAGCCGCGGUAAUACGUAGGAUGCAAGCGUUGUCCGGAAUUAUUGGGCGUAAAGGGCGUCUAGGUGGAUUAACAAGUCCUGUGUGAAAUCUCUUGGCUUAACCAAGAAAGGUCACAGGAAACUAUUAAUCUAGAGGUCAUGAGAGGUAAGUGGAAUUCACAGAGUAGUGGUGAAAUGCGUAGAUACUGUGAGGAACACCAGAGGCGAAAGCGACUUACUAGCAUGAAUCUGACACUAAAGCGCGAAAGUGUGGGUAGCAAACCGGAUUAGAUACCCGGGUAGUCCACACCAUAAACGAUGGAUACUAGUUAUGGGAGGCUUAGACCCCUCUGUAACGAAGCUAACG